UGCAGGUGCGACAGGUGUCCAGCUGGCUUUCAUACGGCCCGCCCGCUCGGUUCGAUACCGAGACCUGCAGCC
Molecule: transfer RNA, 72 nt
Filed under: Lignipirellula cremea
Lineage: Bacteria; Pseudomonadati; Planctomycetota; Planctomycetia; Pirellulales; Pirellulaceae
Description: Planctomycetes bacterium Pla85_3_4 tRNA-Met
Source: RNAcentral